Molecule: ribosomal RNA, 119 nt
Filed under: Helianthus annuus (common sunflower)
Lineage: Eukaryota; Viridiplantae; Streptophyta; Magnoliopsida; Asterales; Asteraceae
Source: RNAcentral
GGUUGCGAUCAUACCAGCACCAAUGCACCGGAUCCCAUCAGAACUCCGCAGUUAAGCGUGCUUGGGCGAGAGUAGUACUAGGAUGGGUGACCCCCUGGGAAGUCCUCGUGUUGCAACCC